UGGGGAAUAUUGCACAAUGGACGAAAGUCUGAUGCAGCGACGCCGCGUGGAGGAUGAAGGUUUUCGGAUCGUAAACUCCUGUUGAGUGGGAAGAAAGACCUUUACCUAAUACGUAAAGGGGAUGACGGUACCACUAAAGAAAGCACCGGCAAACUUCGUGCCAGCAGCCGCGGUAAUACGAAGGGUGCAAGCGUUAUUCGGAGUUACUGGGCGUAAAGAGCGCGUAGGCGGUUCUUUAAGUCAUGUGUUAAAUCUCCCGGCUUAACCGGGAACAUGCAUGUGAUACUGAAGAGCUAGAGUAUAAGAGAGAGAAGCGGAAUUCUCGGAGUAGCGGUAAAAUGCGUAGAUCUCGAGAGGAACACCGGAAGCGAAGGCGGCUUCUUGGCUUAUAACUGACGCUGAAGUGCGAAAGCGUGGGGAGCAAACAGG
RNAcentral lists this ribosomal RNA (429 nucleotides) under uncultured bacterium. RNAcentral describes it as "bacterial SSU rRNA". It matches the Rfam family "Bacterial small subunit ribosomal RNA", at positions 355 to 776 of the family's 1533-position model. The record is from RNAcentral.